AUCCCCUCUGCCACAGUUUGGGGUGCAUUCGUGUUGUGGUUUCACCCCAGCCAGCAUAAAAGAACCACCCUGCCCCUCCCUGACAGCCCCAGCAGCAGGACUGGGCAGAGAAAGGGAGGAGUAAAAGUGGAAAAGCCCAUGGGUUGAGGUAAGGAAGGUAAAUCAAAAGCUGUGUGCGCAAGCAAAGCAAAUAAGGAAUUUGUUCCCCAUUUCUGGGCAGGUAGAUGUUCAGCCAUCCCAGGAAAGCUGGGCUCUGUCUCAGGCUAGGGAGGACAAACAGCAUACCCCUGAAUGUCCCCCCUUCCCCUCCUCUUCCCCAGCCUCGUACACUGAGCAUGAUGCCAUACAGUCUGGAAUUAUCCCUGGCCACCCUGUGUGCCCCCAAGCUGUUGUGCACCCUCAGCCUCCUCACUGGGCUGGGGUGAGAAGCAGGAAUUACCUCGAUGCUGUGUAAGCACUGCUCAGCAGUAACAAAAACAUCUCUGCAGCAUCAAUUCUACUUUCAGGGCAGACCCAAAACACAGCCCCACCAGCACUGGGAAGAGAACUGACCCUACCCCAUCCAAAGGCAGCCCACUGUGGGAAAUGCAGCCCCUCAUGCAGAGCCCCUGCUUCUCCCCCUUCUCCAUGAAGUGCCAGCCAUUUGUGAUUAGAGUCCCACCUGUCACCAGGUUUCAGAGGAAUGCAGAGUGGAUUCGUUUUACAGUAUCAGAACCAGCUGCUCACAAAAAUAGCUUUCUGUCUCCCAAGGUCUCGUAAUCAUUUCAGGAGACAAGCAGAGAAGAGGAUAUCUCAGCUGACACCGGAGAGCACAAAUGUUGACACAAAUAUGAAUCUGAAUUUUCUGACAGCAGUUGAUUGUGUUGCUUUAGAAGGUUUAACAGACAUGCCACUCAGCCGACAAGGCCCUGUUUAAUGCUUCACUGUGCUGCUGAUCUCAGGCCUUUCAUUCUGCACCAGUGUCAUCCUCACCAUGGAAUGAGAGGCAGACUCUCCCCACAGUAAAUAAAUACAGCAAUAUUAUUGGAGAUGCGGGAAAGCAUCUGUGAAAUAACUGUAAUCAUCACAAAUCAGGGCAGCAAUACCAGGAAAACACGGUGGCAUGGGAGUCAUCCUGCACCACACAAACCUGGCAGGAGCACAGCUACUCCACAAUGCAACGUGUCCCUCAGCUGGGUGGCUGGAGCUGGAGGAAGAUGAGCAAACCUGGCUUGAGAAUGUACACAUAGCACCACGGUGUCACCUGCAGGUGAGGUGUGGCUUCCUCCUUGUCAUGCCAGGCCCAUGGAUGAACUGCCCCGCCAGCACAGCCCAGCCAGGCUGCAGCAAGAUCUGGUCAGUGCAGCACUCCCUGCUGGGUUGGAAACACAGUAGGAAGACCCAGGGAUGGGGAACUAUUGUUUUUACAGUGUUGAGUGCUACAGAAGGUCUGUACUCGAUAAAUAAUUUUUAGACAAUGUGGGAAUUGCUGAAAACUUGGGAAAAAGUCGUGAAGAACUGGAAAUAUGUCUGUACUUUCAGUGGCAGGCACUGGAAGGGGGUGCUCAGUGUUACACAGCUUAGUGACCCGACAUAGCUGAUGACAAGGCUUUCUUGGAGUGUUGUGCUUCUAGAAAAACACCUUUCAACCUUCUGGCUCUACAGUUAUGCCAAACUUGCAAGCUCUUUAUUGCUAAAAUCACAACAUAACACUCCAAAAUCCCCUUUUCCUGCAAGGCAGAAAUGCUGCAAACCUAAGAAGAACAUGAUGUUGCUCUUGCAGUUAUAUCUGAGCACCCACAGUAACAGGGCAUUGCUGCAGCACUUGGGCAUCAAGAGGUUCUGUGCCCUGUCACAUCAGGGCCUGUGGAGAACUGGCAAUUCCCACAGGAUCUGCAAUCCCUGGCUAAUGACCACUCUCUUUUUAUACCUUUAAGGGAAGAAAGGAUGGAUGGGCUUUCUCUGCGCAGGCAAAGGAAAAAGGGAAAG
Catharus ustulatus (Swainson's thrush) is the source of this 1968-nucleotide long non-coding RNA. RefSeq lists it as uncharacterized. The record is from RefSeq and is a predicted model, not a curated record. Lineage: Eukaryota; Metazoa; Chordata; Aves; Passeriformes; Turdidae. The transcript is spliced from 3 exons.